CGGAGGAAUUCCUAACAAACUUCCAAGCAAAUCAUCCCGGCUCGUUCCUGGCGGAAUCAGGUGGGGGCAGCUGAGAUAAAUCGCUCCCACUUCAGCUGUUCUGACGCUUCCAGAGCUGAACGUGGCUCCCCUUCCAGCCAAACCCCGGUCCCGAAGGAAGACUGAAACCUUCGGGAAGGGAUUCCUGGGGCGGAGAAAGCGGCUCUUUAAUGACCUGAAGGAAACAGCCCCGUUGGAAACAGCCCCCGGACAGGAGUUCAGCCAGGGCUGGGCAAUGGGCUGUGCAUCUCCAUCUGCUGCUGGGACACCGGUGUUUGGAGAACUGCUUAAUCCACACUGGAAAUGGAGAGGAACUUCAUCAAAAGAAGAACUUUCCUUGGCAAAACUGAAGCAGAAAAAAAAACCCUCAAAAAAUCACCCUCAUAUGUAAGCAUGUGGCAUGGUCUGAUUAAUUAACAAGAGCUGGGUUGCCAUGAUGAUGUAACCGUGACUGCAAUAUUUUGGCUGAAAAGGGGAAAAGGGGUUUUCGUGUGUUCUGCUGGAGGUUUUUGUCGGGGUUUAAAAAGAGGUGACAAAAUCAAUUUUUAUUCCAGGCGAGGAAGGGGACCAAUGGAAUUGGGCUCAGGAAAAUUGCUGCCUGCCCUGACCUACUUGUUAAAAAGGAAAAAAAAAAAAAAGAAAAGCAUCAAUUAAAAGACUCCGAGAUGAAAAGAAUUCCCAUCCUGCUCCAGGGCUCCCGAGCACUAAUCCUGCCAACCAAGGAGUCCAAAAGGAAGAAGGUUUUUAUUUCAUAUCCAGACUCUUAUUCCAUGCAGGAAGAGACUCCAAGGUCAACUUGGAGCCGGAGUUCUGGGACCGGGAAGGAGGGUUGGCUCCGGUGGCUCUGACCUGGGGCAUCCAAACUCUCCUCUUGGGGAUGGAAAAGCCAUUUUUCUCUUCCUUCCAGGCACUGGCAACGUUCCCCUCGGGGGUUUUCCAGAGGUUUUUUUUACGGGCUUCUCUUCCGCCGCUACGGGGGAAUAUUCAGGACAUCCUGCUGCCCCUGGAGGUGGAAUUCCAGCACCCACAGGGAAAAAGGCAGGGCAGAGUGUUUAUUCCUUGUUUCCCUCCUCUGGAUGCAGCAUCCCCAGGCUGGGCAGUGGGAGAUGCCAGUUGGAGCCAAACCUUCAGCUCGGAGCAAUAAAUUUUCCACUUACGAGCUCUUGGAGAGGUGAUGGAUUGGAGCUGUUGAAGCCCCAAAACCUGACCAGUUCCUCUGGAGAAGGAAAACCAAACACCUGGAGCACAGCUAUGGGAGGGCCUGGUUUGGUUCUUUCCUUAGAGGGGAAAAAAAAAAUCAAAAUAAUUUAAAAAUAAAGAGCCUUUUUUCACCCCAGGCACUCAGGAUUUGGCAUCUCCCCGAAGUUCAGGUGUUCCACGGAUCCCAGUUCAGCCAUUUCUGGGUUAUGGUGUUAUUUUUCCACCUGAAUCCUUCCCUAAUCUCCAUGUUUUCUCCCAAAUCCUCCCAAGAUCCUUUCCUGCAGUAAUUUAUACAAAUGCACACCACUUAGAAAGCCUGUUUUUCCUCUAAAUUCGCAGCAUUUCAGAAUUCUUGGAUCCUCCCCAGCAUUUCUAGGGCUUGCAGGGGAAGAACCAAAAUCUUGCUGUUACCAUGUUCAGAAAAACAGCAAAACCAAGGCCUAAAACUACUCCAAUUAACAGUUCAAAUGUAACUAUUUGGGGAAGAAAAAAAGUUAAAUCCAGAGAAAAUUCUCUUUUGAAAGGAGAUCAGAUUUGGGGCAAAAACUGGGUGACAGAAUCCCUCUGAAUUCUUUCCACUUCGGGGAAAGAAGGAGAAAAAAAUUUUAAAAAAUUAAAAAAAAAAAUUAAA
Molecule: long non-coding RNA, 1870 nt
Organism: Chiroxiphia lanceolata (lance-tailed manakin)
Lineage: Eukaryota; Metazoa; Chordata; Aves; Passeriformes; Pipridae
Exons: 6
Source: RefSeq, a predicted model, not a curated record